GAUGAAGAACGUAGCGAAAUGCGAUACUUGGUGUGAAUUGCAGAAUCCCGUGAACCAUCGAGUCUUUGAACGCUAGUUGCGCCCGAAGCCAUUAGGCCGAGGGCACGCCUGCCUGGGUGUCACACACCGUUACCCUCGCGCCAACUUCCAUCGUUGGCCGCGGCGCGGGGCGUGCGCUGACCUCCCGCGAGCGGGGUCUCGUGGUUGGUUGAAAAUCGAGUUCGCGGUCGAGGGUGCCGUGAUGAAAUGGUGGAUGGGCGACGCCCGAGGCCAAUCACGCGCGACUCCGUCCGGCUCGGACUCCUGGACCCCUUCGGCGUCUCCGGACGCUCUUUGGCGAGACCUCAGGUCAGGCGGGGCUACCCGCUGAGUUUAAGCAUAUCAAUAAGCGGAGGA
This 396-nucleotide unclassified non-coding RNA is filed under the name soil metagenome. Its description in RNAcentral is "partial contains 5.8S ribosomal RNA, internal transcribed spacer 2, and large subunit ribosomal RNA". The stretch from base 1 to 122 matches the Rfam family "5.8S ribosomal RNA", at positions 35 to 154 of the family's 154-position model. The record is from RNAcentral.